Molecule: long non-coding RNA, 732 nt
Organism: Melopsittacus undulatus (budgerigar)
Lineage: Eukaryota; Metazoa; Chordata; Aves; Psittaciformes; Psittaculidae
Exons: 3
Source: RefSeq, a predicted model, not a curated record
AUCUUUAUUCUACUGACAUCAAAGGCGGAUCUUACAUCUCAUGCCGAAAGAAUCUGAUGUAUGUCUCCAUUCUUGCCACAUAGAAGAACCUGAAUUUAGAAGCUCAGUAUUACAUCUGGGUCUUGACAGGAUGCCUUGUUACACAGAGGCUUUCGCAGACUCCUGUGUAACCCCUGUAAAGUAAGUGCCAUUGGAUAUUUCACAAGAAGGGAGGUUUGUUUUUCUAUCCUUCCACACUUCCUUUUAAACAAAGCCAUUAAUUACCCAGGAGCAUCAGCAACUUAUGAAAAGGUGAAACACUUUUCAUUUAAUUGUUGAAAAGUCACUGUAUUGUUACUAGUGUUUUACGAUUUAUGACUCCAACCUGACUCCAACAGACCGUAACAAGAGGCCUACUCUUUUUGGUUUGAGUCUAUAGCAUUUCACACAUUAUCGACAAAUAUUAUGCAGUAAAGAUCCACACAUAAGAAGGAUGAGUCAUUAUGCUUUUUCAUCAGCAGGUUUCAGAGGAAUGGAGCUUUAACGUGAAUAGCCAAUAUUUGUUCCUGUCACAAAAUCUUAAAAGUUUGAAGGAACAGGGAGUGAAGAGCUUUAGAAACUGCACCCAAGAAGAUAACGGGACUUUUCAGACAAUGAGGACUUCCCAUGUCUGAGGCCCAGGAGGAAAAUCACACAGUGCCUUCUCAAUGGAGAAUCCUCGGGACAGCAGCAGAUGGAUCUAAUAAUGUAAUA